This 1495-nucleotide ribosomal RNA is filed under the name uncultured Bordetella sp. RNAcentral's name for it is "partial 16S-23S ribosomal RNA intergenic spacer". It matches the Rfam family "Bacterial small subunit ribosomal RNA". The record is from RNAcentral. Lineage: Bacteria; Pseudomonadati; Pseudomonadota; Betaproteobacteria; Burkholderiales; Alcaligenaceae.
AGUUCGAUCAUGGCUCAGAUUGAACGCUGGCGGGAUGCUUUACACAUGCAAGUCGAACGGCAGCACGGACUUCGGUCUGGUGGCGAGUGGCGAACGGGUGAGUAAUGUAUCGGAACGUGCCUAGUAGCGGGGGAUAACUACGCGAAAGCGUAGCUAAUACCGUAUACGCCCUUCGGGGGAAAGCGGGGACCUUCGGGCCUCAAUUAUUAGAGCGGCCGAUAUCGGAUUAGCUAGUUGGUGGGGUAACGGCUCACCAAGGCGACGAUCCGCAGCUGGCUUGAGAGGACGACCAGCCACACUGGGACUGAGACACGGCCCAGACUCCUACGGGAGGCAGCAGGGAAUUUUGACAAUGGGGAAACCCUGAUCCAGCCAUCCCGCGUGUGCGAUGAAGGCCUUCGGGUUGUAAAGCACUUUUGGCAGGAAGAAACGGCAUCGAUAAUACCCCCGUGCAACUGACGGUACCUGCAGAAUAAGCACUGGCGACCACGUGCCAGCAGCCGCGGUAAUACGUAGGUGCAAGCGUUAAUCGGAAUUACUGGGCGUAAAGCGUGCGCAGGCGGUUCGGAAAGAAAGAUGAAAUCCCAGAGCUUAACUUUGGAACUGCAUUUUUAACUACCGAGCUAGAGUGUGUCGAGGAGGUGGAAUUCCGCGUGUAGCAGUGAAAUGCGUAGAUAUGCGGAGGAACACCGAUGGCGAAGGCAGCCUCCUGGGAUAACACUGACGCUCAUGCACGAAAGCGUGGGGAGCAAACAGAUUAGAUACCCUGGUAGUCCACGCCCUAAACGAUGUCAACUAGCUGUUGGGGCCUUCGGGCCUUGGUAGCGCAGCUAACGCGUGAAGUUGACCGCCUGGGGAGUACGGCUGCAAGAUUAAAACUCAAAGGAAUUGACGGGGACCCGCACAAGCGGUGGAUGAUGUGGAUUAAUCUUUGAUGCAACGCGAAAAACCUUAUCACCUUGACAUGUCUGGAAUCCCGAAGAGACUUGGGAGUGCUCGCAAGAGAACCGGAACACAGGUGCCGCAUGGCUGUCGUCAGCUCGUGUCGUGAGAUGCUGGGUUAAGUCCUGCAACGAGCGCAACCCUUGUCAUUAGUUGCUGCUGAAAGGGCACUCUGGCACGACUGCCGGUGACAAACCGGAGGAAGGUGGGGAUGACGUCAAGUCCUCAGUUUUGCCUUAUGGGUAGGGCUUCACACGUCAUACAAUGGUCGGGACAGAGGGUCGCCAACCCGCGAGGGGGAGCCAAUCCUGAAAACCCGAUCGUAGUCCGGAUCGCAGUCUGCAACUCGACUGCGUGAAGCCUGAAUCGCUAGUAAUCGCGGAUCAGCAUGUCGCGGUGAAUACGUUCCCGGGUCUUGUACACACCGCCCGUCACACCAUGGGAGUGGGUUUUACCAGAAGUAGUUAGCCUAACCGUAAGGAGGGCGAUUACCACGGUAGGAUUCAUGACUGGGGUGAAGUCGUAACAAGGUAACUCAAAGAUUACCUGAUGC